UACAGAGGGUGCAAGCGUUAAUCGGAAUUACUGGGCGUAAAGGGCGCGUAGGUGGCCAACUAAGUCAGACGUGAAAUCCCUCGGCUUAACCGGGGAACUGCGUCUGAUACUGGAUGGCUUGAGUUUGGGGGAGGGACGCGGAAUUCCAGGUGUAGCGGUGAAAUGCGUAGAUAUCUGGAGGAACACCGGUGGCGAAGGCGGCGUCCUGGACCAAUACUGACACUGAAACGCGAAAGCCAGGGGAGCAAACGGG
This 253-nucleotide ribosomal RNA is filed under the name uncultured bacterium. RNAcentral describes it as "partial 16S ribosomal RNA". It matches the Rfam family "Bacterial small subunit ribosomal RNA", at positions 524 to 776 of the family's 1533-position model. The record is from RNAcentral.